AUGUUCACUUCAGGGGUAUACAUACUAAAUUAGGACAAUACAGAGAAAAUUAGCCUGUCUCGUCUUCAUGGAUGUCAUGCAAAUUUAUAAAUAUUUCCUUGUAAUA
Molecule: small nuclear RNA, 106 nt
Filed under: Vicugna pacos (alpaca)
Lineage: Eukaryota; Metazoa; Chordata; Mammalia; Artiodactyla; Camelidae
Source: RNAcentral